Molecule: ribosomal RNA, 497 nt
Filed under: uncultured bacterium
Lineage: Bacteria
Description: partial 16S ribosomal RNA
Rfam family: Bacterial small subunit ribosomal RNA
Source: RNAcentral
GAUGAACGCUGGCGGCGUGCCUAAUACAUGCAAGUCGAGCGAACAGACGAGGAGCUUGCUCCUCUGACGUUAGCGGCGGACGGGUGAGUAACACGUGGAUAACCUACCUAUAAGACUGGGAUAACUUCGGGAAACCGGAGCUAAUACCGGAUAAUAUAUUGAACCGCAUGGUUCAAUAGUGAAAGACGGUUUUGCUGUCACUUAUAGAUGGAUCCGCGCCGCAUUAGCUAGUUGGUAAGGUAACGGCUUACCAAGGCAACGAUGCGUAGCCGACCUGAGAGGGUGAUCGGCCACACUGGAACUGAGACACGGUCCAGACGCCUACGGGAGGCAGCAGUAGGGAAUCGUCCGCAAUGGGCGAAAGCCUGACGGAGCAACGCCGCGUGAGUGAUGAAGGUCUUCGGAUCGUAAAACUCUGUUAUUAGGGAAGAACAAAUGUGUAAGUAACUAUGCACGUAUUGACGGUACCUAAUCAGAAAGCCACGGCUAACUACGUG